GAAAAACCUUAAACCACGGCAGAGAGACGGAUACAUAAAUUCAAUCAAACCAACAACAACACAGACAGCCACAAGGAGUAGAACACAUCCGCCAUGUUUCAAUCCAAGUGUCAGAUCCAAAGAUCGGUGAUGAUGUCUUACAGCUGUCUACAGAACUUGUAAUCAAACCCCUUCUGGACUCUCCAAAGGGCUUGGACACAUCAGCCUCUUUACUGAAACCCUUCAGUGAACUGUACAGAGUUAAACUAACUCAGGAAGGUAAAUUAAAGCUGGGACCUUUGACAGUAAACAUUAGAGAAACUCUGAAUACGAAGAAAUGUGCUGUGCCAGGCGGUUCAGCCACCACUCCUGCUGCAUCACUUAUUCAAUGAUAAGGCGCUCCUGCGGUGAGUCAGCCUGGAAGGAAACGGAGGCAGAGAAAGGAGAGGGCAGAAAACCAAACAGAGCAGGCGGACUGGUUAUGUUCCUGCAACACACAGCACACACACCAUCAACGGGAAGGCAGACGGCUGAAAACAAAUGAAAGCUUUCAAAAGACAACAACAACAACAACAACAACAAUGGCUGACUGGAG
This is a long non-coding RNA of Eleginops maclovinus (Patagonian blennie), 574 nucleotides long. RefSeq lists it as uncharacterized. Lineage: Eukaryota; Metazoa; Chordata; Actinopteri; Perciformes; Eleginopidae. The record is from RefSeq and is a predicted model, not a curated record. The transcript is spliced from 4 exons.